AUUUUCAUCUUUUAUAUUUUCCAAGUCAAAAAGAUAAUUUGAGAAUUGAGAUUUGAGCUUAGCAUCUCCACUUCCCGAGCAAGUAAACAUACUUUGACAAGACACGCGCCUUUGAUCGUUGAACUUGGUCAGUUGGUCUCCCCUGGCAGGCAAGCAGCUACCCCACAAGAAGCGGUCCUUACCUCUCUCUUACACGCCUUUGAGCCCCAACCCAUUCCUACAGCGAAAAGGAAACAACUUGGAAGUUAAAAGGCUUCCCACUCUCCAAAGGAUGUCAAGGUUCCUUCCUUAUAUAUAGUUUUUCUUGAAAUUGCUCCUCGUCAAAUACCUAAACACAGCAAGAAAAGCAAACUAGAAUCUUCCUCUCUAGCUUUCAAACGGGUCUUCUACUACUUGAGAUUUGGGGCGAUCAAGAUUUUCUUGAAGAGACCAUGAAUUCUAUGUUCAGUUCUUUUGAUGCUUUGUGUGCUGAGUUAUUGGGUCAAAAAGUGAGGUCUUCACUCGCUCUUACAACCAUGGAUUGCAAUACCAAGAGGGUUUUGACCGCUGGUGAUAAUAGUGAGGUGGGAGAAGAUAAGUUGAUCAAGAAUCGAGAGGGAAGCUCCUCGAGAUCGUUGGCUAGGAAACAAGAGAAGAAGGUGCCAAGGUUUGCACCAGAGCUUGAUGGACUCAACUGCUUCGAGACCAUUGUUAACUAUUGAGAUUCGAUGACAUGACGCAAUGAAGUUGUGUUUUUAUUUAUAGGGAUAUGUAGAGAAAGAAAAAGGUAGGAAUUAUUCUUUGAUUGAUCGAUCUAUCUGAAGUGGUGAUUGUAAUGUUAAAAUGUAAUUCUAAUAUACUAUUGUAUGACUAGAAUAUUCUUUUUGUUCA
Molecule: long non-coding RNA, 870 nt
Organism: Populus trichocarpa (black cottonwood)
Lineage: Eukaryota; Viridiplantae; Streptophyta; Magnoliopsida; Malpighiales; Salicaceae
Exons: 2
Source: RefSeq, a predicted model, not a curated record